GACGAACGCUGGCGGCGUGCUUAACACAUGCCAGUCGAACGAUGAAGCGGUGCUUGCACCGUGGAUUAGUGGCGAACGGGUGAGUAAUACGUGAGUGACCUACCUUUGACUCUGGGAUAAGCCUGGGAAACUGGGUCUAAUACCGGAUACGACCAAUCUCUGCAUGGGGUGUUGGUGGAAAGCGUUAUGGAGUGGUUUUAGAUGGGCUCACGGCCUAUCAGCUUGUUGGUGAGGUAAUGGCUUACCAAGGCGACGACGGGUAGCCGGCCUGAGAGGGUGACCGGCCACACUGGGACUGAGACACGGCCCAGACUCCUACGGGAGGCAGCAGUGGGGAAUAUUGCACAAUGGGCGCAAGCCUGAUGCAGCGACGCCGCGUGAGGGAUGACGGCCUUCGGGUUGUAAACCUCUGUUAGCAUCGAAGAAGCGAAAGUGACGGUAGGUGCAGAGAAAGCGCCGGCUAACUACGUG
RNAcentral lists this ribosomal RNA (471 nucleotides) under uncultured bacterium. RNAcentral's name for it is "partial 16S ribosomal RNA". It matches the Rfam family "Bacterial small subunit ribosomal RNA", at positions 28 to 507 of the family's 1533-position model. The record is from RNAcentral.